UACGUAGGGGGCAAGCGUUGUCCGGAAUCAUUGGGCGUAAAGCGCGUGUAGGCGGUCCGGUAAGUCCGCUGUGAAAGUCCAGGGCUCAACCCUGGGAUGCCGGUGGAUACUGUCGGGCUAGAGUACGGAAGAGGCGAGUGGAAUUCCCGGUGUAGCGGUGAAAUGCGCAGAUAUCGGGAGGAACACCAAUUGCGAAGGCAGCUCGCUGGGACGGUACUGACGCUGAGACGCGAAAGCGUGGGGAGCGAACAGG
RNAcentral lists this ribosomal RNA (253 nucleotides) under uncultured bacterium. RNAcentral describes it as "partial 16S ribosomal RNA". It matches the Rfam family "Bacterial small subunit ribosomal RNA", at positions 524 to 776 of the family's 1533-position model. The record is from RNAcentral.